Molecule: ribosomal RNA, 253 nt
Filed under: uncultured bacterium
Lineage: Bacteria
Description: partial 16S ribosomal RNA
Rfam family: Bacterial small subunit ribosomal RNA
Source: RNAcentral
UACGUAGGGGGCAAGCGUUGUCCGGAAUUAUUGGGCGUAAAGAGCGCGUAGGCGGUCCGAUAAGUCGGCUGUGAAAGUCAGGGGCUCAACCCUUGGAAGCCGGCCGAUACUGUCGGGCUAGAGUCCGGAAGAGGCGAGUGGAAUUCCCGGUGUAGCGGUGAAAUGCGCAGAUAUCGGGAGGAACACCAAUGGCGAAGGCAGCUCGCUGGGACGGUACUGACGCUGAGGCGCGAAAGCGUGGGGAGCAAACAGG